RNAcentral lists this ribosomal RNA (482 nucleotides) under uncultured bacterium. RNAcentral describes it as "partial 16S ribosomal RNA". It matches the Rfam family "Bacterial small subunit ribosomal RNA", at positions 30 to 507 of the family's 1533-position model. The record is from RNAcentral.
AUUGAACGCUGGCGGCAUGCUUUACACAUGCAAGUCGAACGGUAACAGGCCGCAAGGUGCUGACGAGUGGCGAACGGGUGAGUAAUGCAUCGGAACGUGCCCAGUCGUGGGGGAUAACUACUCGAAAGAGUAGCUAAUACCUCAUACGAUCUAUGGAUGAAAGCGGGGGACCGUAAGGCCUCGCGCGCUUGGUGCGGCCGAUGUCAGAUUAGGUAGUUGGUGGGGUAAAGGCUCACCAAGCCAACGAUCUGUAGCUGGUCUGAGAGGACAACCAGCCACACUGGGACUGAGACACGGCCCAGACUCCUACGGGAGGCAGCAGUGGGGAAUUUUGGACAAUGGGCGCAAGCCUGAUCCAGCAAUGCCGCGUGCAGGAAGAAGGCCUUCGGGUUGUAAACUGCUUUUGUACGGAACGAAACGGCUCUGGUUAAUACCCGGGGCUAAUGACGGUACCGUAAGAAUAAGCACCGGCUAACUACGUG